GGCAUAGUUCAGCUGGUAGAGCGUUGGUCUCCAAAACCAAAUGUCGGGGGUUCAAAUCCUCCUGUCC
This 67-nucleotide transfer RNA is filed under the name Lagierella massiliensis. It matches the Rfam family "tRNA". Rfam says of the family: Transfer RNA (tRNA) molecules are approximately 80 nucleotides in length. Their secondary structure includes four short double-helical elements and three loops (D, anti-codon, and T loops). Further hydrogen bonds mediate the characteristic L-shaped molecular structure. tRNAs have two regions of fundamental functional importance: the anti-codon, which is responsible for specific mRNA codon recognition, and the 3' end, to which the tRNAs corresponding amino acid is attached (by aminoacyl-tRNA synthetases). tRNAs cope with the degeneracy of the genetic code in two manners: having more than one tRNA (with a specific anti-codon) for a particular amino acid; and 'wobble' base-pairing, i.e. permitting non-standard base-pairing at the 3rd anti-codon position. The record is from RNAcentral. Lineage: Bacteria; Bacillati; Bacillota; Tissierellia; Tissierellales; Peptoniphilaceae.